RNAcentral lists this ribosomal RNA (576 nucleotides) under Sarcocystis sp. RNAcentral's name for it is "SSU rRNA". It matches the Rfam family "Eukaryotic small subunit ribosomal RNA", at positions 492 to 1059 of the family's 1831-position model. The record is from RNAcentral. Lineage: Eukaryota; Apicomplexa; Conoidasida; Eucoccidiorida; Sarcocystidae.
AUUUUAUUUCUAGUGAUUGGAAUGAUGGGAAUCCAAACCCCUUUCAGAGUAACAAUUGGAGGGCAAGUCUGGUGCCAGCAGCCGCGGUAAUUCCAGCUCCAAUAGCGUAUAUUAAAGUUGUUGCAGUUAAAAAGCUCGUAGUUGGAUAUCUGCUGGAAGCAAUCAGUCCGCCCUAUUUUAGGGUGUGCACUUGAUGAAUUCUGGCAUCUAGUAUCCCUAAUAUGGUCACGAUUUUCAGUAAUCGUGACUUCUUAUUAGGGAUAAUACAGUUACUUUGAGAAAAUUAGAGUGUUUGAAGCAGGCUUGUUGCCUUGAAUACUGCAGCAUGGAAUAACAAUAUAGGAUUUCGGUUCUAUUUUGUUGGUUUCUAGGACUGAAAUAAUGAUUAAUAGGGACAGUUGGGGGCAUUCGUAUUUAACUGUCAGAGGUGAAAUUCUUAGAUUUGUUAAAGACGAACUACUGCGAAAGCAUUUGCCAAGGAUGUUUUCAUUAAUCAAGAACGAAAGUUAGGGGCUCGAAGACGAUCAGAUACCGUCGUAGUCUUAACCAUAAACUAUGCCGACUAGAGAUAGAAAA